Molecule: long non-coding RNA, 2531 nt
Filed under: Panax ginseng (ginseng)
Lineage: Eukaryota; Viridiplantae; Streptophyta; Magnoliopsida; Apiales; Araliaceae
Description: long non-coding RNA (PGIN_LNC016182)
Source: RNAcentral
UUUUACACAUAAUCCCCAAGGUUUGAAACCUUAACUUAAUACAUACCUUCAAUAUCCUACACGAUUUACAAUGCCAUUUCCAUCAAAUACUUUUACAAUUUUAACUGCAUAACAGUCCAAUUCUGGAAUUUUCCUUUACCUUUGUCUUUAUUUGAGCCUUCGCCUAAAUCUGAAAAUGUUAUCAUGAUAUAGCAAGGGUGAGCAACUAUUUUGCCCAACAAGUUUAAGUACAAUGAAGAUAUUUCAGGAUUGGAAAGAAAGAAUAAGCUUUCAAGUUUUCAACAAUGUAAUAAUUAUGAAAUAACAUGAAUCAAGUUUCAAAAAUUGAAUGACUGAAUCAAUAAUGUUUGAAGAUCAACAAUGACCAUGAACAAUUUAACUGAACCUUAUGGUAAUGAAGGUGAUCAGCCUUUCAUACUUGAUGAACAUAUGUAACAUGCACUAAGUGCGAAUCAAUAAUCAGUAUAGAUGUGAAUAAUCAACAAUAAUUAUUCACGAACAUACUUUGAAAAUACAACUCAAGUUUGAGUUAGGAAAACUUGCCUGUACCGUCGAUUAUUGCUACGCAAUCUAAUUUAAUCUCUUUAUUGUAAAGACCUAUCAUUGUUAAGAUUGAUCUUUUAAUCAGCAUAUCAUAGUAUAUCUUAUAAUACAACUACUUUAUCAAUAAAUUAUCUAACACUUAAUCACAAAAUUAAAUAUUAGAUAACACCCUAACACAUCAGUAUUAUUAUCGUCCUUUGAAAAUUUUUCAAUCACUAUAUAUAUCAUACACAUUAUGAUUUAACACUUUAAACUUUCAUAUUAUAAGUUCUUCUUUAUAAUCCAGUAAGCAAAACACUAAUACUAUAAUCUGUAUUAUUCAAACAUACCAAUCCAACAACUUGGAUUUAAACUGUCCUACAAUCCAGCAACCUGGAUUCAUUAAUACAUCAACUCGAAUUCACCAAUUCAGCAAACCGAAUAUACCAAUUCAGCAAGUCGAAUACAAGCUAACAUAAUUAAUCCAAUAAGCCAAAAAUAUCAAUCCAGCAACCUGGAUUCAAACUGUAUUCCCUUUUUUAACAUAUUGAAUUUCCAAUUCAUCAUACUAUUCAAUAUAGCCUAUUGAAUGUCCAAUCAAUAACUUAACUCCUCUUUUAAACUCCAUUUAAUAUUAUUAAUUAUUUAAUAACAUUAAAAUCAUUUACUAAUAUUAUUAAUCAUUAAAUAAUAUUUUAAAUCAAUGAUUUAAUAACACUUUAAUCUAAAUGUUACCAAUCACUUAAUAAUAUCUUAAUCUAAUAUUAUUAAUCUUUUAAUCAUUUAUUAAACUUAUAAAUAAUUUAUUUUAAUUGUUUAAUCUUUACUAAUUCAUUUAUUUAAUGAUCCUAAAAUGCCAUAAACAUAAUAUCUCAUCAACAUUGAACAAAAUACCCUUCAAAAAUUUUCAUAUACUCUAUUUAGGGUUUUCAAGCUAUAAAAUCCUAUUUUCCUUAUUUUCAAUACCACAUAAUUAAUUUAUUUCAUUUAUUCAUAACUAAACCAUUUCCAUGAAAAAUACCAAAUCAGUUCAAACAAUAUUUAUUUUCUGGAAUUUGACAGAAUAUGGUUCCCUUAGGAACAUAUAUUUUUCUUGGAAUUUGUAAAAUUCAUUUACUAUUUGUUAAAUGGCCAACACAGACGGAUCUUGGUACAUUUAUCAUAAACUGAUACUUUGUCCAAAAAUUACGAAACUCUCAGGCUAUGCUCGUAUGUAUAUGUACUCCCAGUAAAAAUUUCACAAAGUUUAGAGUUAACCAUAAUGAGUUAUUAUGGUUUACUUUUAAAAUAGUAUUUUCCCGUAAAAUCCAUAUCUCUUAUUCUAUACAUCCAAAAAUCACCAUCUUUAGACAUAAUACAGUUAACUCAUCACAUUAUCAUUUUAAAUUUUUCCAAAAUUUUUGAAGGUCAGAAAAAUGACGAAAAUAUCCCUAGCAUAAACUGACCAAAACAGUUUUAUUUCCUUUUCUAAAAAAAUAGGAUUGUUUUGGCUAAAACAAUCACUACGGCUUGUAAACUCAACAUUUUUGAGUGCUACUACUUGAGUUUACUAGAUAAAUUAUACAUUUAGCACCCAUAUUUGACGGAUCAUAAAAAGAAGUUAUAGAUCUAAAACGGUGGACAUCUAAAGUACAUAAAAGUUAGGCUUUUCUAAACUAGAAAAAAUAAUUUUCUUUUAUUUUGAUUUCCAAACAAAUCAACACCCAAUAUGGUUAGAUCUAAACAUAAAACACUCAUCAACAAGUAGAUCCAAAGUUUUUGAGUUUAGAAACAUACAUCCAAGUUUUGAUAUACAAUAACCAAAAUAAAAUGUACCAACUAGUUUAGGAUUAUACUUUUUAUGUGCUAUCCUUCUUCUCGUCUUUCCCUUCCACGGAUGACCUUUUUCUCUCCUCUUCUCUCACUCAUGGGCUGCCCCCCAUCUCCUCUUUCUCCCUCUCAUUGGCUGCCACCCCUCUCCUCUUUUUCUCUCUCUUUAGUUUCUUUUUGCUCGCAAAUUUGGAAAUGAG